Molecule: ribosomal RNA, 460 nt
Filed under: uncultured bacterium
Lineage: Bacteria
Description: partial 16S ribosomal RNA
Rfam family: Bacterial small subunit ribosomal RNA
Source: RNAcentral
CCUACGGGGAGCAGCAGUGAGGAAUAUUGGUCAAUGGCCGGAAGGCUGAACCAGCCAUGCCGCGUGAAGGUCAGUGCCCUAUGGGCGUUAAACUUCUUUUGUGCGGGAGCAAUACUGGUCACGUGUGGCCAGACGAGAGUACCGUACGAAUAAGCAUCGGCUAACUCCGUGCCAGCAGCCGCGGUAAUACGGUGGAUGCAAGCGUUAUCCGGAUUUAUUGGGUUUAAAGGGUGCGUAGGCUGUGAGGUAAGUCAGCGGUGAAAUGCCCCCGCUCAACGGGGUGAAGUGCCAUUGAUACUGCCGUGCUGGAAUGCGGAUGCCGUGGGAGGAAUGUGUGGUGUAGCGGUGAAAUGCAUAGAUAUCACACAGAACACCGAUUGCGAAGGCAUCUCACGAAGCCGCGAUUGACGCUGAUGCACGAAAGCGUGGGUAUCAAACAGGAUUAGAUACCCUAGUAGUC